GGCGGACGGGUGAGUAACACGUGGGCAACCUGCCUGUAAGACUGGGAUAACUUCGGGAAACCGGAGCUAAUACCGGAUAAUCCUUUUCCUCUCAUGAGGAAAAGCUGAAAGACGGUUUACGCUGUCACUUACAGAUGGGCCCGCGGCGCAUUAGCUAGUUGGUGAGGUAACGGCUCACCAAGGCGACGAUGCGUAGCCGACCUGAGAGGGUGAUCGGCCACACUGGGACUGAGACACGGCCCAGACUCCUACGGGAGGCAGCAGUAGGGAAUCUUCCGCAAUGGACGAAAGUCUGACGGAGCAACGCCGCGUGAGUGAUGAAGGUUUUCGGAUCGUAAAACUCUGUUGUUAGGGAAGAACAAGUACAAGAGUAACUGCUUGUACCUUGACGGUACCUAACCAGAAAGCCACGGCUAACUACGUGCCAGCAGCCGCGGUAAUACGUAGGUGGCAAGCGUUGUCCGGAAUUAUUGGGCGUAAAGCGCGCGCAGGCGGUCCUUUAAGUCUGAUGUGAAAGCCCACGGCUCAACCGUGGAGGGUCAUUGGAAACUGGGGGACUUGAGUGCAGAAGAGAAGAGUGGAAUUCCACGUGUAGCGGUGAAAUGCGUAGAGAUGUGGAGGAACACCAGUGGCGAAGGCGACUCUUUGGUCUGUAACUGACGCUGAGGCGCGAAAGCGUUGGGGAGCAAACAGGGAU
This 697-nucleotide ribosomal RNA is filed under the name Niallia circulans. RNAcentral describes it as "bacterial SSU rRNA". It matches the Rfam family "Bacterial small subunit ribosomal RNA", at positions 97 to 779 of the family's 1533-position model. Lineage: Bacteria; Bacillati; Bacillota; Bacilli; Caryophanales; Bacillaceae. The record is from RNAcentral.